RNAcentral lists this ribosomal RNA (427 nucleotides) under uncultured bacterium. Its description in RNAcentral is "bacterial SSU rRNA". It matches the Rfam family "Bacterial small subunit ribosomal RNA", at positions 355 to 774 of the family's 1533-position model. The record is from RNAcentral.
UGGGGAAUUUUGGACAAUGGACGCAAGUCUGAUCCAGCCAUGCCGCGUGCAGGAUGAAGGCCUUCGGGUUGUAAACUGCUUUUGUACGGAGCGAAAAGGUCUGCCCUAAUACGGUGGGCUCAUGACGGUACCGUAAGAAUAAGCACCGGCUAACUACGUGCCAGCAGCCGCGGUAAUACGUAGGGUGCAAGCGUUAAUCGGAAUUACUGGGCGUAAAGCGUGCGCAGGCGGUUAUGCAAGACAGAGGUGAAAUCCCCGGGCUCAACCUGGGAACUGCCUUUGUGACUGCAUAGCCAGAGUACGGGAGAGGGGGAUGGAAUUCCGCGUGUAGCAGUGAAAUGCGUAGAUAUGCGGAGGAACACCGAUGGCGAAGGCAAUCCCCUGGACCUGUACUGACGCUCAUGCACGAAAGCGUGGGGAGCAAACA